Molecule: ribosomal RNA, 471 nt
Filed under: uncultured bacterium
Lineage: Bacteria
Description: partial 16S ribosomal RNA
Rfam family: Bacterial small subunit ribosomal RNA
Source: RNAcentral
GACGAACGCUGGCGGCGUGCUUAACACAUGCAAGUCGAACGAUGAACCCGGAGCUUGCUCUGGGGGAUUAGUGGCGAACGGGUGAGUAACACGUGAGUAACCUGCCCUGGACUCUGGGAUAAGCGUUGGAGACGACGUCUAAUACCGGAUAGGACCUUGGAUCGCAUGAUCUGGGGUGGAAAGUUUUUUCGGUCUGGGAUGGACUCGCGGCCUAUCAGCUUGUUGGUGAGGUAAUGGCUCACCAAGGCGUCGACGGGUAGCCGGCCUGAGAGGGUGACCGGCCACACUGGGACUGAGACACGGCCCAGACUCCUACGGGAGGCAGCAGUGGGGAAGAUUGCACAAUGGGCGAAAGCCGGAUGCAGCAACGCCGCGUGCGGGAUGACGGCCUUCGGGUUGUAAACCGCUUUUAGUAGGGAAGAAGGGCUUCGGCUUGACGGUACCUGCAGAAAAAGGACCGGCUAACUACGG